GUUUUUAAUGGCUGGAUAAUUCAAGAAUCAGAAGGAGAGAGAAAGCCAUUCUGCUAGCUCCCUGCUGAUCAGCCACUGGAUCUACAUGUUCUACUGUGUUCUCCAAGCUAGGGAGGGGGUGGGGGGCAGGGAGGGUGGUGGGGGCUCUUCCCACGGUUCACCAGUGAGGCUCCCUGAGCUCUGACCCAGGGCACAGUGUGGGUUCUGUCACCCCAUCCUCCCCCAGCAAGUUGCUACCUGCUUCCCACAGCUUCCUCAGAAACGCAAGUCCCCCCGGAUCC
This 281-nucleotide long non-coding RNA is filed under the name Bos taurus (domestic cattle). RNAcentral describes it as "long non-coding RNA NONBTAT021665". Lineage: Eukaryota; Metazoa; Chordata; Mammalia; Artiodactyla; Bovidae. The record is from RNAcentral.